Molecule: ribosomal RNA, 497 nt
Filed under: uncultured bacterium
Lineage: Bacteria
Description: partial 16S ribosomal RNA
Rfam family: Bacterial small subunit ribosomal RNA
Source: RNAcentral
GACGAACGCUGGCGGCGUGCCUAAUACAUGCAAGUAGAACGCUGAAGAGAGGAGCUUGCUCUUCUUGGAUGAGUUGCGAACGGGUGAGUAACGCGUAGGUAACCUGCCUUGUAGCGGGGGAUAACUAUUGGAAACGAUAGCUAAUACCGCAUAACAAUGGAUGACACAUGUCAUUUAUUUGAAAGGGGCAGUUGCUCCACUACAAGAUGGACCUGCGUUGUAUUAGCUAGUAGGUGAGGUAAUGGCUCACCUAGGCGACGAUACAUAGCCGACCUGAGAGGGUGAUCGGCCACACUGGGACUGAGACACGGCCCAGACUCCUACGGGAGGCAGCAGUAGGGAAUCUUCGGCAAUGGGGGCAACCCUGACCGAGCAACGCCGCGUGAGUGAAGAAGGUUGUCGGGUCGUAAAGCUCUGUUGUAAGUCAAGAACGGGUGUGAGAGUGGAAAGUUCACACUGUGACGGUAGCUGACCAGAAAGGGACGGCUAACUACGUG